CGUGAGGGAAAGGCGAAAAGAACCCCGGCGAGGGGAGUGAAAAAGAACCUGAAACCGUGUACGUACAAGCAGUGGGAGCACGCUUAGGCGUGUGACUGCGUACCUUUUGUAUAAUGGGUCAGCGACUUAUAUUCUGUAGCAAGGUUAACCGAAUAGGGGAGCCGAAGGGAAACCGAGUCUUAACUGGGCGUUAAGUUGCAGGGUAUAGACCCGAAACCCGGUGAUCUAGCCAUGGGCAGGUUGAAGGUUGGGUAACACUAACUGGAGGACCGAACCGACUAAUGUUGAAAAAUUAGCGGAUGACUUGUGGCUGGGGGUGAAAGGCCAAUCAAACCGGGAGAUAGCUGGUUCUCCCCGAAAGCUAUUUAGGUAGCGCCUCGUGAAUUCAUCUCCGGGGGUAGAGCACUGUUUCGGCAAGGGGGUCAUCCCGACUUACCAACCCGAUGCAAACUGCGAAUACCGGAGAAUGUUAUCACGGGAGACACACGGCGGGUGCUAACGUCCGUCGUGAAGAGGGAAACAACCCAGACCGCCAGCUAAGGUCCCAAAGUCAUGGUUAAGUGGGAAACGAUGUGGGAAGGCCCAGACAGCCAGGAUGUUGGCUUAGAAGCAGCCAUCAUUUAAAGAAAGCGUAAUAGCUCACUGGUCGAGUCGGCCUGCGCGGAAGAUGUAACGGGGCUAAACCAUGCACCGAAGCUGCGGCAGCGACGCUUAUGCGUUGUUGGGUAGGGGAGCGUUCUGUAAGCCUGUGAAGGUGUGCUGUGAGGCAUGCUGGAGGUAUCAGAAGUGCGAAUGCUGACAUAAGUAACGAUAAAGCGGGUGAAAAGCCCGCUCGCCGGAAGACCAAGGGUUCCUGUCCAACGUUAAUCGGGGCAGGGUGAGUCGACCCCUAAGGCGAGGCCGAAAGGCGUAGUCGAUGGGAAACAGGUUAAUAUUCCUGUACUUGGUGUUACUGCGAAGGGGGGACGGAGAAGGCUAUGUUGGCCGGGCGACGGUUGUCCCGGUUUAAGCGUGUAGGCUGGUUUUCCAGGCAAAUCCGGAAAAUCAAGGCUGAGGCGUGAUGACGAGGCACUACGGUGCUGAAGCAACAAAUGCCCUGCUUCCAGGAAAAGCCUCUAAGCAUCAGGUAACAUCAAAUCGUACCCCAAACCGACACAGGUGGUCAGGUAGAGAAUACCAAGGCGCUUGAGAGAACUCGGGUGAAGGAACUAGGCAAAAUGGUGCCGUAACUUCGGGAGAAGGCACGCUGAUAUGUAGGUGAAGUCCCUUGCGGAUGGAGCUGAAAUCAGUCGAAGAUACCAGCUGGCUGCAACUGUUUAUUAAAAACACAGCACUGUGCAAACACGAAAGUGGACGUAUACGGUGUGACGCCUGCCCGGUGCCGGAAGGUUAAUUGAUGGGGUCAGCGCAAGCGAAGCUCUUGAUCGAAGCCCCGGUAAACGGCGGCCGUAACUAUAACGGUCCUAAGGUAGCGAAAUUCCUUGUCGGGUAAGUUCCGACCUGCACGAAUGGCGUAAUGAUGGCCAGGCUGUCUCCACCCGAGACUCAGUGAAAUUGAACUCGCUGUGAAGAUGCAGUGUACCCGCGGCAAGACGGAAAGACCCCGUGAACCUUUACUAUAGCUUGACACUGAACAUUGAGCCUUGAUGUGUAGGAUAGGUGGGAGGCUUAGAAGUGUGGACGCCAGUCUGCAUGGAGCCGACCUUGAAAUACCACCCUUUAAUGUUUGAUGUUCUAACGUUGACCCGUAAUCCGGGUUGCGGACAGUGUCUGGUGGGUAGUUUGACUGGGGCGGUCUCCUCCUAAAGAGUAACGGAGGAGCACGAAGGUUGGCUAAUCCUGGUCGGACAUCAGGAGGUUAGUGCAAUGGCAUAAGCCAGCUUGACUGCGAGCGUGACGGCGCGAGCAGGUGCGAAAGCAGGUCAUAGUGAUCCGGUGGUUCUGAAUGGAAGGGCCAUCGCUCAACGGAUAAAAGGUACUCCGGGGAUAACAGGCUGAUACCGCCCAAGAGUUCAUAUCGACGGCGGUGUUUGGCACCUCGAUGUCGGCUCAUCACAUCCUGGGGCUGAAGUAGGUCCCAAGGGUAUGGCUGUUCGCCAUUUAAAGUGGUACGCGAGCUGGGUUUAGAACGUCGUGAGACAGUUCGGUCCCUAUCUGCCGUGGGCGCUGGAGAACUGAGGGGGGCUGCUCCUAGUACGAGAGGACCGGAGUGGACGCAUCACUGGUGUUCGGGUUGUCAUGCCAAUGGCACUGCCCGGUAGCUAAAUGCGGAAGAGAUAAGUGCUGAAAGCAUCUAAGCACGAAACUUGCCCCGAGAUGAGUUCUCCCUGACUCCUUGAGAGUCCUGAAGGAACGUUGAAGACGACGACGUUGAUAGGCCGGGUGUGUAAGCGCAGCGAUGCGUUGAGCUAACCGGUACUAAUGAACCGUGAG
This 2433-nucleotide ribosomal RNA is filed under the name Escherichia coli. RNAcentral's name for it is "partial 23S ribosomal RNA". It matches the Rfam family "Bacterial large subunit ribosomal RNA", at positions 502 to 2915 of the family's 2925-position model. Lineage: Bacteria; Pseudomonadati; Pseudomonadota; Gammaproteobacteria; Enterobacterales; Enterobacteriaceae. The record is from RNAcentral.